Molecule: ribosomal RNA, 465 nt
Filed under: Vreelandella stevensii
Lineage: Bacteria; Pseudomonadati; Pseudomonadota; Gammaproteobacteria; Oceanospirillales; Halomonadaceae
Description: partial 16S ribosomal RNA
Rfam family: Bacterial small subunit ribosomal RNA
Source: RNAcentral
CCUACGGGGCGCAGCAGUGGGGAAUAUUGGACAAUGGGCGAAAGCCUGAUCCAGCCAUGCCGCGUGUGUGAAGAAGGCCUUCGGGUUGUAAAGCACUUUCAGUGGGGAAGAAAGCCUUGGGGCUAAUACCCUCGAGGAAGGACAUCACCCACAGAAGAAGCACCGGCUAACUCCGUGCCAGCAGCCGCGGUAAUACGGAGGGUGCGAGCGUUAAUCGGAAUUACUGGGCGUAAAGCGCGCGUAGGCGGUCUGAUAAGCCGGUUGUGAAAGCCCCGGGCCCAACCUGGGAACGGCAUCCGGAACUGUCAGGCUAGAGUGCAGCAGAGGAAGGUAGAAUUCCCGGUGUAGCGGUGAAAUGCGUAGAGAUCGGGAGGAAUACCAGUGGCGAAGGCGGCCUUCUGGACUGACACUGACGCUGAGGUGCGAAAGCGUGGGUAGCAAACAGGAUUAGAUACCCUAGUAGUC